RNAcentral lists this transfer RNA (93 nucleotides) under Burkholderia multivorans CGD1. RNAcentral's name for it is "tRNA-Ser". It matches the Rfam family "tRNA". Rfam says of the family: Transfer RNA (tRNA) molecules are approximately 80 nucleotides in length. Their secondary structure includes four short double-helical elements and three loops (D, anti-codon, and T loops). RNAcentral also lists the same sequence under 2 other names. The record is from RNAcentral. Lineage: Bacteria; Pseudomonadati; Pseudomonadota; Betaproteobacteria; Burkholderiales; Burkholderiaceae.
CGGAGAGAUGGAUGAGUGGUUUAAGUCGCACGCCUGGAAAGCGUGUAUAGGUUAAUAGCCUAUCGGGGGUUCGAAUCCCCCUCUCUCCGCCAG